This 292-nucleotide ribosomal RNA is filed under the name uncultured bacterium. RNAcentral describes it as "partial 16S ribosomal RNA". It matches the Rfam family "Bacterial small subunit ribosomal RNA", at positions 505 to 796 of the family's 1533-position model. The record is from RNAcentral.
GUGUCAGCCGCCGCGGUAAUACAGAGGGUGCGAGCGUUGUUCGGAAUUAUUGGGCGUAAAGCGCGUGUAGGCGGUGAUGCAUGUCGGGUGUGAAAGCCCUCGGCUUAACCGAGGAAGUGCGCCCGAAACUGCAUCGCUCGAGUGCCGGAGAGGGUGGCGGAAUUCCGGGUGUAGAGGUGAAAUUCGUAGAUAUCCGGAGGAACACCAGUGGCGAAGGCGGCCACCUGGACGGACACUGACGCUGAGACGCGAAAGCGUGGGGAUCAAACAGGAUUAGAUACCCCCGUAGUCC